UGCUCUUCCAAUCUGGGGCUGGACCCAGAAGUUCUGGUCCAUGCCAGAGCCGGCUGCCCAGACAUGAGCUAUCCUUAAAGUGUAUCUGACUUUUCCUCAGACCAAGGGCGAUCAUCUGAAAAGUGGUUCACACCAUACGUAAAGAUAGUUCAUCAAGAGUAGCUAUAGCUUUGGUAUCUCCCCCGACACCCUGUGCUUUCCAUUACCCUCACAGGCAGAACUGGGGCCGACCUGGGACAAUGAAACAUGGCUGGGCCACUCUAACAGAAGAAGGUGCUUGUACCUGCCUGGAAAUCAUUUCUCAAUGUGACCUCAUACUCAUCCAACUGGAAACUGUAUAGGAGUAGGAACGGAAAGCAAAGCUGAGUGGAAGCAACAGGGUCAGCUAACUGGACAUUGCCACUACACCACACACAGAGACUACAACUCAAGAAGACCAGCGCUCUGUUCCCAAGGAUCUGUGGUUUUCCCCAGCCCCACCAUUGAAUAGCUGUGACUCAGGACAAGUUAGUUCCUCUCUCUGUGCCACUGACUCUUUGUCUGUAAGAUGGGGACAAUAACAACACAUCUCAUAGGGCAAUGGUAAAGCUCAAAGGAGGUGGCACAUGUGAAGUUCUCCAGGACCUGACGUGGAUGAGCUGUGAUGACAGCUAUGGUGCUGAUUUUACCGAGGAGGACCAUUUCUCCUCCGCCAUCCUUCCCCAGGGCAGUCAAACACCGAGGGCUAGAUUCUAGAGUAGACAGACAGCCAGUAAAGCCCUUGUCCUCACAGAGUUUCUAAUCCAGGAAGAAAAAUUCACCACUUGGGAAUAAAAAUGAAGCAGGAAGCAAUUGCUAAAUGUCAAAUGAGUGGUCCAGGCAAGAGGUGCUGUAUAAUUUCAGAGACAGCCACCUUCAUAUUGACCACUUAGUCACAGAAGUAAGCUGUGUGCUGGGCUUUGCAGAUCUGCAGGAGGCUCAGGGGCUGGGGACACCACUUGCAGAUGUCACUUCCAGGCACCACAAGCACCAGAACCAUUUCUCUUUGACUUACGAUAUUUUCCUGACCAUGACGAGGAGGUGGAGAAGAUUCUAAGUAUUGUAGCAGCUUCCUAAUAGAUGCUUUCACCUCAGGUGACAAUCACAAAUUCUCUCCUGAUUGAAGAAUUCUCACUACAAGCAUCAUCACUAAUCUUCCCAUUUUUUCCUACCAAUAAUGAUGAUAAUAACAAAUACACGUACUUAAAAUUCAUCAUGCAGUCACUAUUUAUCACUUAGUCAGGCAUCAGUUAAGUAUCACACAGACAUGAACUCAGUUAACCUUUAACCACAGUCCUGUGAGAGAGGGAUCAUGAUCCCAGAUGAGAACUGAGGCUCAGGGGGAUUAUUUGACUUGGCUGGGUCACUCACUAAGCAUUGGAGCCAAAAAGCGAACCCAGAUUUCACUAAUUCCAGAGCCUGGGCUUUAACCACAGCCCUGUUUUAUCAAAGAAUUUGACCCAGGGGAGUUCACAUGGUCUCCUUCCCAUGCACCACCCCGCAGCUCCUCCAGCUUUUAUCAAACAGGGAACCAGACACGUGCUGAGGUACUGGUCCACCCAAGUAACAGAGGUAUCAACCGAUGCUUCAUGGGUUCACCUUGUAGUCUAACUCACUCCAUGCAUGCUAGUCCCCACACUACCUACCACUUUUGGGACAGAGCUAAAGGGCCAAGGACAACACGCUCGUGACUUGCUGGCCAUGUAAAACUGUCUGCCACUUGAAAGGGGUGUAUCUUUGUUUCUAAUCCUUCCUGUCUACAAGGAAAAGAUGAUAUGGCUAAAUUCAACUACUAGGUGCGAAUUAUGCUUGGUGGCAUUUCUCACAAUAAAGCCUCCGGCAGAAAGAAGAAUGAUUUCCCCCUAAUAGAGCUACAGGUUGGGUCUAUUAAUACAUUUUUUGUUGGUGAACAUCUGGUGUUUAUUGAUGGUAAAUAAAUUGUAUUGACUUUGGUCUUCACUGAUGGUAAAUGAACCCUACAAAUCUAACCAUUCUUUAAAAAUUAUCACCUUUCUACAAGGGAUUCAGCCAGUACUAAAAUCUGACCCCUCACAGGUCCUCAAAAGAUCAGACUAGAAAAGGUGUGACAUUGAGCAUCUAUUCAGAGCCUUAAAAACAUACACAACCAUGGCUCUUGAGGCUUGAAGACCAACUGCUCUGUGACCAACUAUUCUUCUUACAAAUAUAGAAAGUCAGUUAAAAAUACUAAAACAGAGCCAAAAGGGUUUUUUUUAGCUGAAAGUGUCAACUACUCAUGAAAGAUGAUCCCUGAGAUAAUAAUUCAAGACAAUUAAAGUUGGAAGGGAUUAACUCACUUAAUCUCAUUCUACAGCUGUAGAAACUGAAGGCCCAGACAAGUUAAAAAACUUGCGUAAGCCCACACUAUAGGUAGUCAUGGGGUAACCGUGGGCAACCAUGAUCAGGUAAGUACAUAAUCCAAGGCAGGU
Molecule: long non-coding RNA, 2465 nt
Organism: Phyllostomus discolor (pale spear-nosed bat)
Lineage: Eukaryota; Metazoa; Chordata; Mammalia; Chiroptera; Phyllostomidae
Exons: 3
Source: RefSeq, a predicted model, not a curated record